This 450-nucleotide ribosomal RNA is filed under the name uncultured bacterium. RNAcentral's name for it is "partial 16S ribosomal RNA". It matches the Rfam family "Bacterial small subunit ribosomal RNA", at positions 354 to 796 of the family's 1533-position model. The record is from RNAcentral.
GUGGGGAAUUUUGCACAAUGGGCGCAAGCCUGAUGCAGCGACGCCGCGUGAGGGAUGGAGGCCUUCGGGUUGUAAAGCACUUUUGGCAGGGAAGAAACAGUGCGUGCUAAUACCAUGCGCGAAUGACGGUACCUGCAGAAUAAGCACCGGCUAACUACGUGCCAGCAGCCGCGGUAAUACGUAGGGUGCAAGCGUUAAUCGGAAUUACUGGGCGUAAAGCGUGCGCAGGCGGCUUUGUAAGACGGAUGUGAAAGCCCCGGGCUCAACCUGGGAAGUGCAUUCAUGACUGCAAGGCUAGAGUGUGUCAGAGGGAGGUGGAGUUCCGCGUGUAGCAGUGAAAUGCGUAGAGAUGCGGAGGAACACCGAUGGCGAAGGCAGCCUCCUGGGAUAACACUGACGCUCAGGCACGAAAGCGUGGGGAGCAAACAGGAUUAGAUACCCGAGUAGUCC